UUUCGCAAUGCCCGAAAGGGUGACGAAGUGACGCCGCGUGGGGGAAGAAGGCCUUCGGGUUGUAAACCUCUGUCAGGAGCCAGGAAAUGCAGGGUGUUAAUAGCUCCCUGUUUGACUACAGCUCCAGAGGAAGCCAUGGCUAACUCUGUGCCAGCAGCCGCGGUAAUACAGAGAUGGCAAGCGUUGUUCGGAAUCAUUGGGCGUAAAGCGCGCGUAGGCGGCCUAGCAAGUCGGGUGUGAAAUCCCCUGGCUCACCCAGGGAACUGCAUCCGAUACUACUAGGCUUGAGGACAGGAGGGGAGAGUGGAACUUCUGGUGGAGCGGUGAAAUGCGUAGAUAUCAGAAGGAACAUCGGUGGCGAAAGCGACUCUCUGGCCUGUAUCUGACGCUGAGGUGCGAAAGCUAGGGGAGCAAACGGGAUUAGAUACCCCGGUAGUCCUAGCCGUAAACUAUGGGCACUAAGUAGAGGGGUUUU
RNAcentral lists this ribosomal RNA (475 nucleotides) under uncultured Planctomycetales bacterium. Its description in RNAcentral is "bacterial SSU rRNA". It matches the Rfam family "Bacterial small subunit ribosomal RNA", at positions 364 to 832 of the family's 1533-position model. The record is from RNAcentral. Lineage: Bacteria; Pseudomonadati; Planctomycetota; Planctomycetia; Planctomycetales.